RNAcentral lists this ribosomal RNA (468 nucleotides) under uncultured bacterium. RNAcentral's name for it is "partial 16S ribosomal RNA". It matches the Rfam family "Bacterial small subunit ribosomal RNA", at positions 28 to 507 of the family's 1533-position model. The record is from RNAcentral.
GACGAACGCUGGCGGCGUGCUUAACACAUGCAAGUCGAACGGAAAGGCCCUGCUCUUGUGGGGUGCUCGAGUGGCGAACGGGUGAGUAACACGUGAGUAACCUGCCCUUGACUUUGGGAUAACUUCAGGAAACUGGGGCUAAUACCGGAUAGGAGCUCUUGCUGCAUGGUGGGGGAUGGAGAGUUUCGGCGGUUGGGGAUGGACUCGCGGCUUAUCAGCUUGUUGGUGGGGUAGUGGCGUACUAAGGCUUUGACGGGUAGCCGGCCUGAGAGGGUGACCGGCCACAUUGGGACUGCGGUACGGCCCAGACUGCUACGGGAGGCAGCAGUGGAGAAUAUUGCACAAUGGGCGGAAGCCUGAUGCAGCAGCGCCGCGUGCGGGAUGACGGCCUUCGGGUUAUAAACCGCUUUCGCCUGUGACGAAGCGUGAGUGACGGUAAUGGGUAAAGAAGCACCGGCUAACUACGUG